This 680-nucleotide long non-coding RNA is filed under the name Carica papaya (papaya). RNAcentral describes it as "long non-coding RNA (CPAP_LNC013614)". The record is from RNAcentral. Lineage: Eukaryota; Viridiplantae; Streptophyta; Magnoliopsida; Brassicales; Caricaceae.
GCUUUUCUUGUGAUUUAUUUUCUUCUUUUCAGAUAAAGUUCAUUAAGAAUCCUACACCGAAUACAAGAAGAAUUCAAAGAGAAGAAAACCACUUGGAGGAGUUAGCCAAAGAGAGAAGAGAAGUAAAUUAUUUAAUUCUAAGUAUUUUAUUUUAUUAUUAUAUUUCCUAGUCUAAGUUAGAUUAAGAAUUUAACUCAGAAUUAUGUAAUCCCACCUCUAGUCCAAUUAGUCAAGUAAAGCAUAUAUAAAGACUUCAUCACUAGGUUGUCAAUCACAAUUCCAAAAUUCAAUGAUUAAUAAAAUUUAAAAAUAUUCAACUGAAUAUUUUCUAUCAAAUCUUGUUUUUAGCUUCGACAUAAGUGAGUGUUCAAUUAGGACGAUACUUCAACCAUCUUGUUAAGAUAGGAAAUCGAAUCCACUUAUCAGGUAAGCCGUGACGUCUUUUUCAUUCUUAUUUUAAUUUUCAGUUACCUUGGUUUACAUUCAAAUCGCUGAAUUUGGUUUAAGUAGGGAGGGUUAAUUAAGAAUUUUAAGUUUUCUAAGUGCUAAUAUUUAUAUGGAGGUUUUAGAAGUAUUAAAGAUCCCAAGUUUCGUGUCACAAAAGGAACCUUGUAAGAAAAAAUGACAACAACAACAUUUUCUAUAAAUAAUAUUAAUUAUUAGAGUUCAGUGAUUCUUCC